GCUCUGGUCUAAAGUAGUGCUAUAUAGGGAAUAAGGCUCUGGUCUAAAGUAGUGCACUAUUAUAGGGAAUAGGGCUCUGGUCUAAAGUAGUGCACUAUAUAGGGAAUAGGGUGCCAUAGGGCUCUGGUCUAAAGUAGUGCACUAUUAUAGGGAAUAGGGUGCCAUUUGGGAAACAUCAAUAGAAUGGAUGAAAUCCUGCCAGAAUCACAACGUCAGGGGACCCUAUAAAGUCAAGGAUCCAGAGAGUGAUGUCGUAGUGAGACAAACCGCUCCAGAGGGGGGGUUGAAUAGUCAAUACAAGUUCUAUUGUAUUGGUUCUUAAUGAACAGUUUCAUUGGGUGUGUCUAAAACGUCUUCCUUCCCUCUGUCUCUCACUUCCUGUCCUUCACGAGAGCCUAUUAGAAGUCACAGGACAGGUGGUGGAUGGUAGACUAUCAGGGACUGUAUUCAUAAUGUAGAUGGUAGAUGGUAGACUAUCAGGGACUGUAUUCAUAAUGUAGAUGGUAGAUGGUAGACUCUCAGGGACUGUAUUCAUAAUGUAGAUAUUUGAUGGUAGACUAUCAGGGACUGUAUUCAUAAUGUAGAUGGUAGAUUAUCAGGGACUGUAUUCAUAAUGUAGAUGGUAGAUGGUAGACUCUCAGGGACUGUAUUCAUAAUGUAGAUGGUAGACUAUCAGGGACUGUAUUCAUAAUGUAGAUGGUAGAUGGUAGACUAUCAGGGACUGUAUUCAUAAUGUAGAUGGUAGAUUAUCAGGGACUAUAUUCAUAAUGUAGAUGGUAGACUAUCAGGGACUGUAUUCAUAAUGUAGAUGGUAGAUGGUAGACUCUCAGGGACUGUAUUCAUAAUGUAGAUGGUAGAUGGUAGACUCUCAGGGACUGUAUUCAUAAUGUAGAUGGUAGAUGGUAGACUCUCAGGGACUGUAUUCAUAAUGUAGAUGGUAGACUAUCAGGGACUAUAUUCAUAAUGUAGAUGGUAGAUGGUAGACUACCAGGGACUGUAUUCAUAAUGUAGAUGGUAGACUCUCAGGGACUGUAUUCAUAAUGUAGAUGGUAGAUGGUAGACUAUCAGGGACUGUAUUCAUAAUGUAGAUGGUAGACUCUCAGGGACUGUAUUCAUAAUGUAGAUGGUAGACUACCAGGGACUGUAUUCAUAAUGUAGAUGGUAGACUAUCAGGGACUGUAUUCAUAAUGUAGAUGGUAGACUCUCAGGGACUGUAUUCAUAAUGUAGAUGGUAGACUAUCAGGGACUGUAUUCAUAAUGUAGAUGGUAGACUAUCAGGGACUGUAUUCAUAAUGUAGAU
RNAcentral lists this long non-coding RNA (1300 nucleotides) under Salmo salar (Atlantic salmon). RNAcentral's name for it is "lncRNA (ENSSSAG00000083119.1)". The record is from RNAcentral. Lineage: Eukaryota; Metazoa; Chordata; Actinopteri; Salmoniformes; Salmonidae.